UACGGAGGAUGCAAGCGUUAUCCGGAUUCAUUGGGUUUAAAGGGUGCGUAGGCGGGGCGGUAAGUCAGUGGUGAAAGCCUGCAGCUUAACUGUAGAAUUGCCAUUGAUACUGUCGCUCUUGAAUGCGGUUGAGGCAGGCGGAAUGUGUAAUGUAGCGGUGAAAUGCUUAGAUAUUACACAGAACACCGAUUGCGUAGGCAGCUUGCUAAACCGUGAUUGACGCUGAGGCACGAAAGCGUGGGGAGCAAACAGG
RNAcentral lists this ribosomal RNA (253 nucleotides) under uncultured bacterium. RNAcentral's name for it is "partial 16S ribosomal RNA". It matches the Rfam family "Bacterial small subunit ribosomal RNA", at positions 524 to 776 of the family's 1533-position model. The record is from RNAcentral.